AAAAAAUAAAAAAUGCACUGUGUUUCACACGGACUUAAAAGAGGGACGGACAACAAGGAAGAGAGAGCAGAGAAGAAAGCAAGCCAAAGAGGACGGAAGUUUGGGGGAUCAGAGAUCCUGGACACUUUGUGCAGAGGAGGACAAAUCUGUGAGACGAGCAGAGAGGCAGCCGGUUUUUACCUGCUUCUGGACCAAUUUGCACAUGUCCUGUCAUUCACCAAAUAAAUGGAGGAUAAAAGAA
This is a long non-coding RNA of Fundulus heteroclitus (mummichog), 241 nucleotides long. RefSeq lists it as uncharacterized. NCBI's taxonomy places the organism in Eukaryota, Metazoa, Chordata, Actinopteri, Cyprinodontiformes, Fundulidae. The transcript is spliced from 2 exons. The record is from RefSeq and is a predicted model, not a curated record.